GCCGCGCCUAGAUCGACGGAUCGAAAGCCGGGUCCCCUACUCGGCCGGCGCAGCUCUCCAAGAUAGAUG
This 69-nucleotide small RNA is filed under the name Cupriavidus basilensis. Its description in RNAcentral is "int-alpA RNA". It matches the Rfam family "int-alpA RNA". Rfam says of the family: Acidobacteria (1 example), Planctomycetes (1 example), Proteobacteria. Environment (Lake Washington) The record is from Rfam by way of RNAcentral. Lineage: Bacteria; Pseudomonadati; Pseudomonadota; Betaproteobacteria; Burkholderiales; Burkholderiaceae.